UACGGGGGGGGCAAGCGUUGUUCGGAAUUACUGGGCGUAAAGGGCUCGUAGGUGGCCAACUAAGUCAGACGUGAAAUCCCCAGGCUUAACCUGGGAACUGCGUCUGAUACUGGAUGGCUUGAAUUCGGGAGAGGGAUGCGGAAUUCCAGGUGUAGCGGUGAAAUGCGUAGAUAUCUGGAGGAACACCGGUGGCGAAGGCGGCAUCCUGGACCGGUAUUGACGCUGAGGCGCGAAAGCCAGGGGAGCAAACGGG
RNAcentral lists this ribosomal RNA (253 nucleotides) under uncultured bacterium. Its description in RNAcentral is "partial 16S ribosomal RNA". It matches the Rfam family "Bacterial small subunit ribosomal RNA", at positions 524 to 776 of the family's 1533-position model. The record is from RNAcentral.